UAGGGAAUCUUCGGCAAUGGACGGAAGUCUGACCGAGCAACGCCGCGUGAGUGAAGAAGGUUUUCGGAUCGUAAAGCUCUGUUGUAAGAGAAGAACGAGUGUGAGAGUGGAAAGUUCACACUGUGACGGUAUCUUACCAGAAAGGGACGGCUAACUACGUGCCAGCAGCCGCGGUAAUACGUAGGUCCCGAGCGUUGUCCGGAUUUAUUGGGCGUAAAGCGAGCGCAGGCGGUUAGAUAAGUCUGAAGUUAAAGGCUGUGGCUUAACCAUAGUACGCUCUGGAAACUGUUUAACUUGAGUGCAAGAGGGGAGAGUGGAAUUCCAUGUGUAGCGGUGAAAUGCGUAGAUAUAUGGAGGAACACCGGUGGCGAAAGCGGCUCUCUGGCUUGUAACUGACGCUGAGGCUCGAAAGCGUGGGGAGCAAACAGGAUUAGAUACCCUGGUAGUCCACGCCGUAAACGAUGAGUGCUAGGUGUUAGACCCUUUCCGGGGUUUAGUGCCGCAGCUAACGCAUUAAGCACUCCGCCUGGGGAGUACGACCGCAAGGUUG
This 550-nucleotide ribosomal RNA is filed under the name uncultured bacterium. Its description in RNAcentral is "bacterial SSU rRNA". It matches the Rfam family "Bacterial small subunit ribosomal RNA", at positions 355 to 896 of the family's 1533-position model. The record is from RNAcentral.